GUACGAGAGGACCGGGAUGGACGAACCUCUGGUGGACCUGUUGUGGCGCCAGCCGCAGUGCAGGGUAGCUAUGUUCGGUCGGGAUAACCGCUGAAGGCAUCUAAGCGGGAAACCCCCCUUGAAACGAGAACUCCCUUGAGAGCCGUGGAAGACGACCACGUGGAUAGGCUGGAUGUGCAAGCGCGGUAACGCGCUGAGCUGACCAGUACUAAUCGCUCGAUCGGCUUGAUCGCUCUCAUGAU
This 242-nucleotide ribosomal RNA is filed under the name Methylobacterium sp. DB0501. RNAcentral describes it as "partial 23S ribosomal RNA". It matches the Rfam family "Bacterial large subunit ribosomal RNA", at positions 2681 to 2925 of the family's 2925-position model. Lineage: Bacteria; Pseudomonadati; Pseudomonadota; Alphaproteobacteria; Hyphomicrobiales; Methylobacteriaceae. The record is from RNAcentral.